CCUAAUUGCUCCUGUAAGUCACUCUGGAUAAGAGCGUCUGCUAAAUGACUAAAA
Salmo salar (Atlantic salmon) is the source of this 54-nucleotide non-coding RNA. NCBI's taxonomy places the organism in Eukaryota, Metazoa, Chordata, Actinopteri, Salmoniformes, Salmonidae. The record is from Rfam.